CCUCUCAAUAUACCACAGCUGGGCUUACAAAUUACCGUUUAUGUUUCAUUUUGCUAACUUAAAUUAUAUGUGGAUUACUUACCUACAGUAAAAUUGCCUGCUUUAGAUUCGGAGCCACAUUCAGGGCUAUAUUAAGGCAUGAUUUCGGGUGUCAUUCCAGCAGGGUAUUUAAAGCAGGUUUUCUUAUGAUAUCCUAGCCCAAAGCAAGAAUUCUUUAAGGAUAAAUUUAUUGGAUAUAAUUAAGCUGAAAAUUAGUUGAACAAUUGAGUAUUUUUGGUGCUGUCUAAAAAUGAUAUCCUUACUUGGAUUGUUUUUCUCUUUUGUUUUGCGUGUUGUCGGGUCAUUUUACUUUGUUUUUAGUUAAGGAUAUAAAUAAUACAACAUAUUUUUGACUUGUU
Long non-coding RNA from Anthonomus grandis grandis, 398 nucleotides. RefSeq lists it as uncharacterized. NCBI's taxonomy places the organism in Eukaryota, Metazoa, Arthropoda, Insecta, Coleoptera, Curculionidae. The record is from RefSeq and is a predicted model, not a curated record. The transcript has 2 exons.